AUACAUGAGCAAAAUCUCAACUUUAUUAGAAGAGACGCAUUUAUUAGAUAAAAAGCCAAUGCAUGCUUUUACAGUAUGGAAAUUGGUGAUUUAUAAUAACUUGGCAAAUCGCAAAGUGAAAACAGGCGAUAAAUCAUUCAAGUUUCUGACCUAUCAGCUUUCGACGGUAUGGUAUUGGCUUACCGUGGCAGUGACGGUUAACGGGGGAUUAGGGUUCGAUUCCGGAGAGGGAGCCUGAGAAACGGCUACCACAUCUAAGGAAGGCAGCAGGCGCGCAAAUUACCCAAUUCUAACAGUUUGAGAGAGGUAGUAACAAGAAAUAACAAUACAAGGCAAUUAAAAUGCUUUGUAAUUGGAAUGAUAGAAAUUUAAACCCUUUUUAAAGUAUCAAUUGGAGGGCAAGUCUGGUGCCAGCAGCCGCGGUAAUUCCAGCUCCAAUAGCGUAUAUUAAAAUUGUUGCAGUUAAAAAGCUCGUAGUUGAAGUUCUGCUAAAAGUAACCGGUCUGCUUUUAAUAAAAGUGGUAUCUUGGUGUGUAUUUAGCAAUGAUGUCCUUUGAAGUGUUUUUUACUUUAUUGUAAUAAAGCAUAUUCAGGACUUUUACUUUGAGAAAAUUAGAGUGUUUCUAGCAGGCCGACGCUUUGAAUACUGCAGCAUGGAAUA
RNAcentral lists this ribosomal RNA (661 nucleotides) under Hepatozoon canis. RNAcentral describes it as "SSU rRNA". It matches the Rfam family "Eukaryotic small subunit ribosomal RNA", at positions 167 to 816 of the family's 1831-position model. Lineage: Eukaryota; Apicomplexa; Hepatozoidae. The record is from RNAcentral.